GUGUAUCCUACAUACCAAGAGUGUUUUCGCAGGAGAAGCAGCUUGUCUGGACUUGGCCAGGAUUUAGGAGUCUGUGUCUACCUGAGAAAGCACAGCUGAGACAGCUGAGACAGAGGUGUGAGAGGACGUGUUGUUGUCCAGAGGGACAGCAGCAGCAGCAGCGGUGGGGAAAAAGACGAGGUGGAGGAGAGAAGUUCCAAAUAUCAGAGAGCUGCUGCUGUCACCACCUUCACAAUCAGCCUCUGUCUGCCUGACCCAGGACCUCACCUCUCCUUCAAUGGCUCCGGCUCUCUCUCUCUCUGUGGAGGAUGGGAAAAAAAGCAGGAAGGUGGAGGGGCACAACGGCUGGCUGGCGGCUUUUCUCACAACGAUAAGAUUUCUCACAAGACAGUCAUGACACCAAACUGUCAGUAACACGUCAUAAAAAAAUGAGACAUUAAUAAAUACCACCAUUGAUUUUGAAUGUUAUAGUAGAAGCUUGUCUGCGUUUCCAUCGUGUGAUAACUGGAGUUACAGAUAAUUUACAUAUUAGCUGAAUUUAGUCAAAUACUGAGCAGCCACACUGUUCCCACCCAGCAGCCACAGACAGAGGAGACAAAGAUCUGCUGCAGUCCUCUGGAGGUCUGUAUGAUUUGUACCUGUCAUGCUGGAGCUGUAUUACAGCAGUGCUUAAAAGCAACAAUCACAGGUGUAUUUCAGUAUUAGUGUGAUGCCUGUGCUACUCUACUGUCACACUUGCCCCCUUGUGGUACCCUGCAGAAACAUACAUAAAGAUAGAGCCGUUUAACCAAAGGAAAUGUAGCAUAAAAGAGUCUUACAGCAUGGUUUAAAGGUGUAACUCACCUGAAAGGGUAAUUAAAUGCUGUCUGUAUUUGGUCUACUUUGAAAAAAACAAAAACAAAGGAACGACUCCAAAUGAUUUUUCUAAGUCUUGUAUUAUUGCUUACAACUGAAAGCAGCAGUGUUAAUGUACUAAUCAUACUCUACCACUAGGGGGCAACAUUUCCAAUGCC
Molecule: long non-coding RNA, 1013 nt
Organism: Parambassis ranga (Indian glassy fish)
Lineage: Eukaryota; Metazoa; Chordata; Actinopteri; Ambassidae
Source: Ensembl